CAAAUUUGAAAUCUGGCUCUUUCAGGGUCCGAGUUGUAAUUUGUAGAAGAUGCUUUGGGUGUGGCCCCGGUCUAAGUUCCUUGGAACAGGACGUCAUAGAGGGUGAGAAUCCCGUAUGUGACUGGGUGCUUUCGCCCGUGUAAAGCUCUUUCGACGAGUCGAGUUGUUUGGGAAUGCAGCUCAAAAUGGGUGGUAAAUUUCAUCUAAAGCUAAAUAUUGGCCAGAGACCGAUAGCGCACAAGUAGAGUGAUCGAAAGAUGAAAAGCACUUUGGAAAGAGAGUUAAACAGUACGUGAAAUUGUUGAAAGGGAAGCGCUUGCAACCAGACUCGCAUGCCGCUGAUCAUCCGGGGUUCUCCCCGGUGCACUCGGUGGUCUACGGGCCAGCAUCGGUUUGGGUGGCGGGAUAAAGGCUGUGGGAAUGUAGCUUCUCUCGGGGAGUGUUAUAGCCCACGGUGCAAUGCCGCCUACCUGGACCGAGGACCGCGCUUCGGCUAGGAUGCUGGCGUAAUGGUUGUAAGCGACCCGUCUUGAAACACGGACCAAGGAGUCUAACAUCUAUGCGAGUAUUUGGGUGUUAAACCCAUAUGCGUAAUGAAAGUGAACGGAGGUAAGAACCCUUUAGGGUGCAUUAUCGACCGAUCCUGAUGUCUUCGGAUGGAUUUGAGUAAGAGCAUAGCUGUUGGGACCCGAAAAGAUGGUGAACUAUGCCUAAAUAGGGUGAAGCCAGAGGAAACUCUGGUGGAGGCUCGCAGCGGUUCUGACGUGCAAAUCGAUCGUCAAAUUUGGGUAUAGGGGCGAAAGACUAAUCGAACCAUCUAGUAGUGUC
This 828-nucleotide ribosomal RNA is filed under the name Proliferodiscus sp. KUS-F52660. RNAcentral's name for it is "eukaryotic LSU rRNA". It matches the Rfam family "Eukaryotic large subunit ribosomal RNA", at positions 110 to 951 of the family's 3401-position model. Lineage: Eukaryota; Fungi; Ascomycota; Leotiomycetes; Helotiales; Lachnaceae. The record is from RNAcentral.